ACAUGCAAGUCGAGCGGACAGAAGGGAGCUUGCUCCCGGAUGUUAGCGGCGGACGGGUGAGUAACACGUGGGUAACCUGCCUGUAAGACUGGGAUAACUCCGGGAAACCGGAGCAAAUACCGGAUAGUUCCUUGAACCGCAUGGUUCAAGGAUGAAAGACGGUUUCGGCUGUCACUUACAGAUGGACCCGCGGCGCAUUAGCUAGUUGGUGAGGUAACGGCUCACCAAGGCGACGAUGCGUAGCCGACCUGAGAGGGUGAUCGGCCACACUGGGACUGAGACACGGCCCAGACWCCUACGGGAGGCAGCAGUAGGGAAUCUUCCGCAAUGGACGAAAGUCUGACGGAGCAACGCCGCGUGAGUGAUGAAGGUUUUC
RNAcentral lists this ribosomal RNA (376 nucleotides) under Bacillus sp. 34B3_12ACASO. RNAcentral's name for it is "bacterial SSU rRNA". It matches the Rfam family "Bacterial small subunit ribosomal RNA", at positions 53 to 419 of the family's 1533-position model. The record is from RNAcentral. Lineage: Bacteria; Bacillati; Bacillota; Bacilli; Caryophanales; Bacillaceae.